GAAUCAGCCAACAACCUUCAUGUCAUCUAUAAGGGACAACGUAUUUUUAUGACUCUCUUCUUUAGAACACUCCAGAAGCUCAUGAUUCUGCACAUUCAUUCAUCAACAAAUAUGUCCUGAAAGUGUGCUCCCUCAAGGCGCUAGAGGGUCCAACUCACAAACGCCAAAUCUCCAAAUGUGCGCUAGAGGGCGCCACUCUCCCAUUGGCGCCCGCUCCUCAAAGCCCCUUGUCACGACCUGGGAUGGUACUCAGCCUAGAAAGAUUCCCUUCGCCUGCUUCACACGCUCACCCACACAGAUGAAGAACUUGACACCACUUGCAGUUUAAAAGCGAAAUAAAUUCCAUCCGUUGGAAGCAUAAACAAAAAAAAGAAAGGCAGAACCUGCCCAACUGCCCCCAAACAGGUCUAUUUUCCAGCAGGCACUGUGGGCAGGGAGUCUGUGCCUUCCUAAAAUCAUGACAGCUGGGUGCUGUUUUCAGCACUAAAGUGCCAAAAGAAAACUUCGAGAUUGAGAUCAAUAAGUCUUCAAUUAAAUGUCUACGCGAUGCAGCCUUCCCACUUUAUUAACUGGUAAGGAUACUCUCAAAAGUAUUUUUAUUCCAUUUUAAAAAUUAAUAGAUUUGAUUUUCUCAUAUUACCAAUCUUCUUCAGUCCGCCCAAAUAAAGGCCAAGAAAAC
RNAcentral lists this long non-coding RNA (679 nucleotides) under Marmota monax (woodchuck). Lineage: Eukaryota; Metazoa; Chordata; Mammalia; Rodentia; Sciuridae. The record is from RNAcentral.